RNAcentral lists this transfer-messenger RNA (355 nucleotides) under Dehalococcoidales. RNAcentral's name for it is "GCA-2688105 sp002688105 Standard tmRNA". It matches the Rfam family "transfer-messenger RNA". Rfam says of the family: Bacterial tmRNA, also known as 10Sa RNA or SsrA, is named for its dual tRNA and mRNA-like properties. Its role is to liberate the mRNA from a stalled ribosome. Lineage: Bacteria; Bacillati; Chloroflexota; Dehalococcoidia. RNAcentral also lists the same sequence under 2 other names. The record is from RNAcentral.
GGGGACGCGUGGUUUCGACAGGGGAAGCAGGCUACAGGAUUGCAAGCCGAGGUGCCACUAACCUCGUAAAACCGGUGGCAAAAAUUAACUGGCGAACCUGAAUUCGCAUAUGCGGCCUAAUUAAAUAGGUUGCACGCCCGCUCCAACCUCGCCUCAAUGGGUUAGAACCGGGUGCCGAAAAGUUGAGGUGCCAUUGCCCAGACGCCGAUAAGAGCGGUGAAAGAACCAUCGGCUGGCCUGGCUAAACUCGGUCAGCAGAGGCUAGCCAGGUAAGACCAAAGAGCUGACUAAGCUUGUAGCAGAUUCUGAGCAACUUCUUCUGGACGGGGAGUUCGACUCUCCCCCGUCUCCACCA